Molecule: ribosomal RNA, 253 nt
Filed under: uncultured bacterium
Lineage: Bacteria
Description: partial 16S ribosomal RNA
Rfam family: Bacterial small subunit ribosomal RNA
Source: RNAcentral
UACGGAGGGUGCUAGCGUUGUUCGGAAUCACUGGGCGUAAAGGGCGUGUAGGCGGUCUGUUAAGUCUGAUGUGAAAUCCCCUCGCUCAACGAGGGAACUGCGUCGGAUACUGGCAGACUCGAGUACCGGAGAGGAAGGUGGAAUUCCCGGUGUAGUGGUGAAAUGCGCAGAUAUCAGGAGGAACACCGGUGGCGAAGGCGGGUCUCUGGGCCGAUACUGACGCUGAGGAGCGAAAGCGUGGGGAGCGAACAGG